RNAcentral lists this ribosomal RNA (253 nucleotides) under uncultured bacterium. Its description in RNAcentral is "partial 16S ribosomal RNA". It matches the Rfam family "Bacterial small subunit ribosomal RNA", at positions 524 to 776 of the family's 1533-position model. The record is from RNAcentral.
GACGUAGGGGGCCAGCGUUGCUCGGAAUUACUGGGCGUAAAGGGUUCGUAGGCGGUGUGGCAAGUCGGUAGUGAAAUCUCCAGGCUUAACUUGGAGGCUGCUGCCGAAAUUGCCGUGCUAGAGUGCAGGAGAGGCGAGUGGAAUUACAGGUGUAGCGGUGAAAUGCGUAGAUAUCUGUAGGAACACCCGUGGCGAAGGCGGCUCGCUGGACUGCAACUGACGCUGAGGAACGAAAGCUAGGGGAGCAAACAGG